Molecule: ribosomal RNA, 253 nt
Filed under: uncultured bacterium
Lineage: Bacteria
Description: partial 16S ribosomal RNA
Rfam family: Bacterial small subunit ribosomal RNA
Source: RNAcentral
UACGUAGGUGGCAAGCGUUGUCCGGAUUUACUGGGCGUAAAGGAUGCGUAGGCGGAUACUUAAGUCAGAUGUGAAAUUCCCGGGCUUAACUUGGGAGCUGCAUUUGAAACUGGGUAUCUAGAGUGCAGGAGAGGAAAGCGGAAUUCCUAGUGUAGCGGUGAAAUGCGUAGAGAUUAGGAAGAACACCAGUGGCGAAGGCGGCUUUCUGGACUGUAACUGACGCUGAGGCAUGAAAGUGUGGGGAGCAAACAGG